UGUUAGGUUCCUCCUCGGUAGGUUGUUAGGUUCAUCCUCGGUAGGUUGUUAGGUUCAUCCUCGGUAGGUUGUUAGGUUCAUCCCCGGUAGGUUGUUAGGUUCAUCCUCAGUAGUUUGUGGGUAGGUUGUUAUGUUCAUCCUCGGUAGGUUGUUAGGUUCCUCCUCAGUAGGUUGUUAGGUUCAUCCUCAGUAGUUUGUGGGUAGGUUGUUAGGUUCAUCCUCGGUAGUUUUUGGGUAGGUUGUUAGGUUCAUCCUCAGUAGUUUGUGGGUAGGUUGUUAGGUUCCUCCUCAGUACUUUGUGGGUAGGUUGUUAGGUUCAUCCUCAGUAGUUUGUGGGUAGGUUCAUCCUCAGUAAUUUGUGGGUAGGUUCCUCCUCAGUAGUUUGUGGGUAGGUUGUUAGGUUCCUCCUCAGUAGUUUGUGGGUAGGUUGUUAGGUUCCUCCUCAGUAGUUUGUGGGUAGGUUGUUGGGUUCCUCCUCAGUAGUUUGUGGGUCGGUUGUUUGGUUCCUCCUCGGUAGUUUGUAGGUAGGUUGUUAGGUUCAUCCUCGGUAGUUUGUGGGUAGGUUGUUAGGUUCCUCCUCAGUAGUUUGUGGGUAGGUUGUUAGGUUCAUCCUCAGUAGUUUGUGGGUAGGUUGUUAGGUUCAUCCUCAGUAGUUUGUGACUAGGUUGUUAGGUUCCUCCUCGAUAGUUUGUGGGUAGGUUGUUGGGUUCAUCCUCGGUAGUUUGUGGGUAGGUUGUUGGGUUCAUCCUCGGUAGUUUGUGGGUAGGUUGUUAGGUUCAUCCUCGGUAGUUUGUGGGUAGGUUGUUAGGUUCAUCCUCAGUAUUUUGUGGGUAGGUUGUUAGGUUCAUCGUCAGUAGUUUGUGGGUAGGUUGUUAGGUUCAUCCUCAGUAGUUUGUGGGUAGGUUGUUAGGUUCCUCCUCAGUAGUUUGUGGGUAGGUUGUUAGGUUCAUCCUCAGUAGUUUGUGGGUAGGUUGUUAGGUUCAUCCUCAGUAGUUUGUGGGUAGGUUGUUAGGUUCCUCCUCAGUAGUUUGUGGGUAGGUUGUUAGGUUCAU
Salmo salar (Atlantic salmon) is the source of this 1052-nucleotide non-coding RNA. Lineage: Eukaryota; Metazoa; Chordata; Actinopteri; Salmoniformes; Salmonidae. The record is from RefSeq and is a predicted model, not a curated record.